AUUGAACGCUGGCGGCAUGCCUUACACAUGCAAGUCGAACGGUAACGGGCCUUAGGGUGCCGACGAGUGGCGAACGGGUGAGUAAUACAUCGGAACGUGCCCGAUCGUGGGGGAUAACGAGGCGAAAGCUUUGCUAAUACCGCAUACGAUCUACGGAUGACAGCAGGGGACCGCAAGGCCUUGCGCGGACGGAGCGGCCGAUGGCAGAUUAGGUAGUUGGUGGGAUAAAAGCUUACCAAGCCGACGAUCUGUAGCUGGUCUGAGAGGAUGAUCAGCCACACUGGGACUGAGACACGGCCCAGACUCCUACGGGAGGCAGCAGUGGGGAAUUUUGGACAAUGGGCGCAAGCCUGAUCCAGCCAUGCCGCGUGCAGGAUGAAGGCCUUCGGGUUGUAAACUGCUUUUGUACGGAACGAAAAGCCUUCUUUUAAUACAGGAGGGUCAUGACGGUACCGUAAGAAUAAGCACCGGCUAACUACGUG
This 482-nucleotide ribosomal RNA is filed under the name uncultured bacterium. RNAcentral's name for it is "partial 16S ribosomal RNA". It matches the Rfam family "Bacterial small subunit ribosomal RNA", at positions 30 to 507 of the family's 1533-position model. The record is from RNAcentral.